RNAcentral lists this ribosomal RNA (486 nucleotides) under uncultured bacterium. RNAcentral describes it as "partial 16S ribosomal RNA". It matches the Rfam family "Bacterial small subunit ribosomal RNA", at positions 30 to 507 of the family's 1533-position model. The record is from RNAcentral.
AUUGAACGCUGGCGGCAUGCCUUACACAUGCCAGUCGAACGGCAGCACGGGUGCUUGCACCUGGUGGCGAGUGGCGAACGGGUGAGUAAUACAUCGGAACAUGCCCUGUAGUGGGGGAUAGCCCGGCGAAAGCCGGAUUAAUACCGCAUACGAUCUACGGAUGAAAGCGGGGGACCUUCGGGCCUCGCGCUAUAGGGUUGGCCGAUGGCUGAUUAGCUAGUUGGUGGGGUAAAGGCCAACCAAGGCGACGAUCAGUAGCUGGUCUGAGAGGACGACCAGCCACACUGGGACUGAGACACGGCCCAGACUCCUACGGGAGGCAGCAGUGGGGAAUUUUGGACAAUGGGCGAAAGCCUGAUCCAGCAAUGCCGCGUGUGUGAAGAAGGCCUUCGGGUUGUAAAGCACUUUUGUCCGGAAAGAAAUCCUUGGCCCUAAUACGGUCGGGGGAUGACGGUACCGGAAGAAUAAGCACCGGCUAACUACGUG